Molecule: long non-coding RNA, 515 nt
Filed under: Malus domestica (apple)
Lineage: Eukaryota; Viridiplantae; Streptophyta; Magnoliopsida; Rosales; Rosaceae
Description: long non-coding RNA (MDOM_LNC021267)
Source: RNAcentral
AUAUAUACAUGCAUUAAUAAUUCUAGAAAAUUGCUUUCUUUGUUAUAACAUAUGUGAGUACUAGUUUUCAUGUUUACAUCAAUCUUCUCACAUAUACCUAGUGUAGGGUGUGUAGUCAGAAAAAUCUAAGUGAAAAUUGAGUGCUUAUCUAGUAAGGAAUUUAGGGAAUUCUCUAAGGCAUGUUACUACAUUCAAAAUGUUGUUUUAAUUGAUUAAAUGUGAGCUAGUGAAUGGUGACUAUGAUUAAGUAUGCUCGAGGGUAAGGAUUGCUCAAAUUCAUGUGAGUAGUGAUCUUUGGCAUGUCAUGUUUCAUUGGAAAUCCCUGAGGCAAAUGUUGGAAGGUCUAGGUUCUGUUUUGUUUGUUUUGUUUGUUUUGUUUUGCUCGAGGACUAGCAAAAGCUAAGUGUGGGGGAAUUUGAUAAGAGCAUAUUUAUGCGACUUAGUUAGCUUGUUUCUUAGCAUUUAUGUUGUUAGUUCCUAGUUGUUUUAUUAUUUUAAGCUAUUUUCGUGUGUUU